GAAGCGGUGGCUCAAUGGCAGAGCUUUUGACUCCAAUAAUCAAAGGGUUGCAGGUUCGAUUCCUGUCCGUUUCA
This 74-nucleotide transfer RNA is filed under the name Henningerozyma blattae CBS 6284. Its description in RNAcentral is "Tetrapisispora blattae CBS 6284 tRNA-Trp". It matches the Rfam family "tRNA". Rfam says of the family: Transfer RNA (tRNA) molecules are approximately 80 nucleotides in length. Lineage: Eukaryota; Fungi; Ascomycota; Saccharomycetes; Saccharomycetales; Saccharomycetaceae. The record is from RNAcentral.